CCGCGUCGCCCCCGACCCGACCGGCGGCCAAGCGCAGCUCCCACCCCAAGCCCGCAUCGCCUUUAACCCGACCGCCACGACUCCGCCCGCGACCUGCGGCCAGGCGGCGGCUCCAUCCCCGAGCUCGUGGACGCGUCCGCCUCGGACCGAUGGCUAGGCGGUUGCUUCAACCCCGACGCAGGCAGUUCCCAGUUCGCCACGUACCCAGGCUGCUCCGCCCAAAUCCCGACCCAAGCUCCUUCCCCAAUCCGUCCCUGACCCGAGUACGAGCUUCCGCCCGCUCGUGAGUGCUCCAUGCGCCUGCACCAUCCCACAAGUCACGACAAAUCAAGCUAGCCAGACCACUGAAUUUGUAGGAGCAAGAGGAAUGUGUGGACCAUACUGUCGUUCUUUUGCUUAGGAAGUGCGAUCACGUAGUUGUUUUGUGCUACUCUGUAUACAUCUAUCGUGUGUAUAAAAAACAUGUGUUCUGUGAUAAA
This 479-nucleotide long non-coding RNA is filed under the name Zea mays. RNAcentral's name for it is "long non-coding RNA NONZMAT000966". Lineage: Eukaryota; Viridiplantae; Streptophyta; Magnoliopsida; Poales; Poaceae. The record is from RNAcentral.